CAGCAGCCGCGGGAAUACGUAGGGUGCAAGCGUUGUCCGGAAUUAUUGGGCGUAAAGAGCUCGUAGGCGGUCUGUCGCGUCGAAUGUGAAAACCCGGGGCUCAACCCCGGGCCUGCAUUCGAUACGGGCAGACUAGAGUUCGGUAGGGGAGUCCGGAAUUCCUGGUGUAGCGGUGAAAUGCGCAGAUAUCAGGAGGAACACCGGUGGCGAAGGCGGGACUCUGGGCCGGUACUGACGCUGAGGAGCGAAAGCGUGGGGAGCAAACAGGAUUAGAUACCCGCGUAGUCCCUGUCUCUUAUAA
This 301-nucleotide ribosomal RNA is filed under the name uncultured bacterium. Its description in RNAcentral is "partial 16S ribosomal RNA". It matches the Rfam family "Bacterial small subunit ribosomal RNA", at positions 509 to 809 of the family's 1533-position model. The record is from RNAcentral.